Misgurnus anguillicaudatus (oriental weatherfish) is the source of this 1245-nucleotide non-coding RNA. The record is from RefSeq and is a predicted model, not a curated record. Lineage: Eukaryota; Metazoa; Chordata; Actinopteri; Cypriniformes; Cobitidae.
UGCUGUGAAAUGGUAAAGUUUACUUUCUUACUGUUUUUCACAUUUGUCAUGUUUAUUCUAUUAGUUGAUAAAGAGAGCAAAACAACUGCUUAUAAUAUUUAUUUACUGCUGUUUAUUUAUUGUUUAAUAAAAAUGUGUAUUAGAUUUUAAAUAAAAGAUAAUGCAAUUAUUUUUCAUUUGUUUAUUUUCAAAAAGUAGAAAAUAACUGACAACAAGAAGUAACAAAAGUGUAUAAACCUAAAUGUUUGGUGUUUACUGUCAGUAUCCUUCAGCUGAUUCAAGUUACGCGUUCGUUUCCCGUUGCAUCAUGGGAAAUAUGAGUGAACGAGUGUACAUCGAAUGUACCCUCAAAAUCAGAGUGCAUUGUGGGUAAAAAGUAGUGAAUUAAUGUAGGGAAUGAAUGAAGUUAUUCACUCAGGUUGCGGACACCACUAAAAAAUGGCCGACACCCGAUAUAGUGCACUAUAUAGUGGAUAGGGAGCGGUUUCAGACACAGCUAAUGACAAGUUUAUCUAGCUAGCUGCUUGCUAAAAACACCUGUCGGCCGAAUUCGAAGCAAUUAACAGUGUCGUCGAACGCGCGCCUGCGCAGUGAGACGGGUUUUAGUACAUCAUUGGGCCUGCGCAAACGCCAUGCGUAGCUAUCGAAAAGAUACAAUUGUUUCUCUGAACACUUGUUUUUCUUUAUAUUAUUCAGCUAACGCUACGCGGCCAUCAAGAGCAUGCAGGACAAAAUCAACUCUUCAAGUGAAAGACUGGGAAAAAACACGUCAUGAACCGGAUGAAAAGGGAUUAUCACUUCAUCAGUUGGCAUUGUGGCAUAACGAUUUAGUAAAGACUUCUUGAAUGACCUCAGUAAUCCACUUCAUGCAGCCAAUGUCAAGAAAGCCGCCUCUGAUUUUCCUGCGUAAUCUGUUUGGUCAGACCAGUGCAUCUCGUGCAAUUAUGAGAUGUAAUUUGCUUGCAUUCUCUGAAGCCAGACAGUAAUUACCUGAAGGAUGCUUGAUGUCUUUCACACUUGACUGACCUGUUUAAAGGAGAGACGCAGAGACCUGAAUUCAAAAAGCAAUGCUGUUCCAAUUACAGACCUACUAACAGAAUGACAGAAGCUCUCCUUAACAAACAGCAGUGAAAAGCAUUGAUCCAUCAGAUGAGCAACAUGCUGUGCUCCUAGUUUCUUUGUGCACCCUGAUAGAAAGUUCAUUGUCCUGAAAAUAAAGUUGUUAAGAUCGUUUGAUAGCAAAGG